RNAcentral lists this long non-coding RNA (566 nucleotides) under Eucalyptus grandis. RNAcentral's name for it is "long non-coding RNA (EGRA_LNC007338)". Lineage: Eukaryota; Viridiplantae; Streptophyta; Magnoliopsida; Myrtales; Myrtaceae. The record is from RNAcentral.
GGGCCCAACCAUCGUCUCCGGCUGAGUAGCCGCCAUGUCCGCGAGCGGACAACCUCCGUCCUCCGACUGCGAAAGUCCUCGUUUUGACGUUUGGUUAGCAACGGACAUCUUAGGUGGGAGAGACACCCUCGUCAAGAACAGCGGAAAGACCCACCUCCAUCAUCGUCUUCCAAAACCGGCUUAUCCCCUCUAAUCCCUUCUCUAAUCACCGUUCCCGCAUCUUCCUUGCUGCUGCUCCGACGCCAAGAAAGAGGACAGCUUGGCGACCCGCUUCUCCAGCUCACGGAAAGGAGCGGAAGCGGAUUCGAAGAGAGACGGGGAGAGAGGAAGAAAGGUAUAUCCAUUGUUCUUUUUAGCUACUGAAGAGGCGUUAAAGUCGGGGAGCGGCUUGUUGAAGAAUGGAGAGCCGCGUCGGCAACGGGGAAAGCAUAAGUAGCAGUGGCAGUAGCGUGGCUCUGAGCAAUCAGAAGAAGCCCUUUCAGGGAAUACGGGUACAGAAUCCGUUUACUUUCAAAGUGGGUCAGGUAUUCACCGGCUUCGGCAUUGGUUGCGGUCUUGGUAUCGAA